This 468-nucleotide ribosomal RNA is filed under the name uncultured bacterium. RNAcentral's name for it is "partial 16S ribosomal RNA". It matches the Rfam family "Bacterial small subunit ribosomal RNA", at positions 28 to 507 of the family's 1533-position model. The record is from RNAcentral.
GACGAACGCUGGCGGCGUGCUUAACACAUGCAAGUCGAGCGGGAAGGCCCUGCUUUUGUGGGGUGCUCGAGUGGCGAACGGGUGAGUAACACGUGAGUAACCUGCCCUUGACUUUGGGAUAACUUCAGGAAACUGGGGCUAAUACCGGAUAGGAGCUCCUGCUGCAUGGUGGGGGUUGGAAAGUUUCGGCGGUUGGGGAUGGACUCGCGGCUUAUCAGCUUGUUGGUGGGGUAGUGGCUUACCAAGGCUUUGACGGGUAGCCGGCCUGAGAGGGUGACCGGCCACAUUGGGACUGAGAUACGGCCCAGACUCCUACGGGAGGCAGCAGUGGGGAAUAUUGCACAAUGGGCGGAAGCCUGAUGCAGCAACGCCGCGUGCGGGAUGACGGCCUUCGGGUUGUAAACCGCUUUCGCCUGUGACGAAGCGUGAGUGACGGUAAUGGGUAAAGAAGCACCGGCUAACUACGUG